This 538-nucleotide ribosomal RNA is filed under the name uncultured Geobacter sp. Its description in RNAcentral is "bacterial SSU rRNA". It matches the Rfam family "Bacterial small subunit ribosomal RNA", at positions 8 to 524 of the family's 1533-position model. The record is from RNAcentral. Lineage: Bacteria; Pseudomonadati; Thermodesulfobacteriota; Desulfuromonadia; Geobacterales; Geobacteraceae.
AGAGUUUGAUCCUGGCUCAGAACGAACGCUGGCGGCGUGCCUAACACAUGCAAGUCGAACGGAGUGAAGGAGCUUGCUCUUUCAUUUAGUGGCGCACGGGUGAGUAACGCGUAGAUAAUCUGCCUUGGACUCUGGGAUAACAUCUCGAAAGGGGUGCUAAUACCGGAUAAGCCCACGAUGGCGUAAGUCAUUGCGGGAAAAGGGGGCCUCUGAAUAUGCUCCUGAUUCAAGAUGAGUCUGCGUACCAUUAGCUAGUUGGUGGGGUAAAGGCCUACCAAGGCGACGAUCCGUAGCUGGUCUGAGAGGACGACCAGCCACACUGGGACUGAGACACGGCCCAGACUCCUACGGGAGGCAGCAGUGGGGAAUUUUGGACAAUGGGGGCAACCCUGAUCCAGCAAUGCCGCGUGUGUGAAGAAGGCCUUCGGGUUGUAAAGCACUUUUGUCCGGGAAGAAAUCCCCUGCCCUAAUACGGCGGGGGGAUGACGGUACCGGAAGAAUAAGCACCGGCUAACUACGUGCCAGCAGCCGCGGUAAA